UACGUAGGGGGCAAGCGUUGUCCGGAUUUAUUGGGCGUAAAGCGCGUGUAGGCGGCUCUUCAAGUCAGGCGUGAAAGCCCCGGGCUCAACUCGGGAACUGCGCUUGAUACUGUCGAGCUAGAGUGUGGAAGGGGCGAUUGGAAUUCCGUGUGUAGCGGUGAAAUGCGUAGAUAUACGGAGGAACACCAGAGGCGAAGGCGGAUCGCUGGGCCAACACUGACGCUGAGACGCGAAAGCUAGGGUAGCAAACGGG
RNAcentral lists this ribosomal RNA (253 nucleotides) under uncultured bacterium. RNAcentral describes it as "partial 16S ribosomal RNA". It matches the Rfam family "Bacterial small subunit ribosomal RNA", at positions 524 to 776 of the family's 1533-position model. The record is from RNAcentral.